RNAcentral lists this ribosomal RNA (525 nucleotides) under uncultured bacterium. RNAcentral's name for it is "bacterial SSU rRNA". It matches the Rfam family "Bacterial small subunit ribosomal RNA", at positions 353 to 896 of the family's 1533-position model. The record is from RNAcentral.
AGUGGGGAAUCUUAGACAAUGGGGGAAACCCUGAUCUAGCCAUGCCGCGUGAGCGAUGAAGGCCUUAGGGUUGUAAAGCUCUUUCAGCCGGGAAGAUAAUGACGGUACCAGCAGAAGAAGCCCCGGCUAACUCCGUGCCAGCAGCCGCGGUAAUACGGAGGGGGCUAGCGUUGUUCGGAAUUACUGGGCGUAAAGCGCGCGUAGGCGGGCUGUUAAGUCGGGGGUGAAAUCCCGGGGCUCAACCCCGGAACUGCCUUCGAUACUGGCAGCCUAGAGGUCGAGAGAGGUGAGUGGAAUUCCGAGUGUAGAGGUGAAAUUCGUAGAUAUUCGGAGGAACACCAGUGGCGAAGGCGGCUCACUGGCUCGAUACUGACGCUGAGGUGCGAAAGUGUGGGGAGCAAACAGGAUUAGAUACCCUGGUAGUCCACACCGUAAACGAUGAAUGCCAGACGUCGGGCAGCAUGCUGUUCGGUGUCACACCUAACGGAUUAAGCAUUCCGCCUGGGGAGUACGGCCGCAAGGUUA